Paramuricea clavata is the source of this 822-nucleotide non-coding RNA. NCBI's taxonomy places the organism in Eukaryota, Metazoa, Cnidaria, Anthozoa, Malacalcyonacea, Plexauridae. The record is from the annotation of a GenBank genome assembly.
GUGUGCAAGAGGUUCAGAAAUUUCAUUAGCAAUUUUCUUAAUAAUUUGUGAACUCACACCAUCAUAUCCUGGACUCUUUUUAGAAUUCAUCUUUUUUAUUUCUGUUUCAAUUUCAUAUUUUGUAAUUGGUUCAAGAAAAAAACUAUCUUUAUAGUUAUGCGAAAGGUAUUCAUUAAUUGUUCUUUUGCAAUUUGGCAUUUUGUUGGCUAUUCCUGGUCCGACGUUUACAAAGUAUUCAUUGAAUUUAUUUGCUAUAGUAAAAGGGUCAAUCAAUAUUUCAUCGGGACAUCUUCCGACAAAUUCAUUCGAUAAUAUUUGACUCUUUUUUGUUUAUUCAUAAUUUCAUUGAGUGUCUUCCAUAAUAAUUUCGCAUUGCCUUUGUAAUUUAUUAGUUGCUCUUCAUAGUAUUUCUUUUUUACUCCUUUUAUUACAUGAUUUAAUUUAUUCUUGUAUUGUUUGUAUUUGUUUUCAUUGUUUGCAGUAAGAUGGUGUAAAUAUUUCUUAUAUAACUUAUUCUUUUUAAUAACUGAUUUUGCAAUGCAUUUUGUCAUCCAUGGACUUUUCUUUUUGUCAAUUUUUCUUUUUGUAAGGUUUUUUGUUAAUGGGAAGUUACUUUCGUAGAUUGGAGAAAAUAAGAAAGUGAAAGAAUUGAUUGUAUGACUCUGUGAUGUUGUUACUAGAAAGCACGUUUUCGCAUGACAUAUUUUUAAUACUAUUGCUAAAUGAUUUAACAUUAGAGUCUCUGAUGACAUUUUUGUAAAUAAAUUCUUCUGCUGGUGGUGUUUCAUGUCGCGUUUUUAAGUUACGUACAUGAACUAUGGG